RNAcentral lists this ribosomal RNA (916 nucleotides) under uncultured bacterium. RNAcentral describes it as "bacterial SSU rRNA". It matches the Rfam family "Bacterial small subunit ribosomal RNA", at positions 246 to 1155 of the family's 1533-position model. The record is from RNAcentral.
UUGUUGGUAAGGUAAAAGCUUACCAAGGCUUCGAUCAGUAGCUGGUCUGAGAGGACGGCCAGCCACACUGGGACUGAGACACGGCCCAGACUCCUACGGGAGGCAGCAGUGGGGAAUUUUGGACAAUGGGGGCAACCCUGAUCCAGCCAUGCCGCGUGAGUGAAGAAGGCCUUCGGGUUGUAAAGCUCUUUCAGCCGGAACGAAACGGUUACGGUUAAUACCCGUGACUACUGACGGUACCGGAAGAAGAAGCACCGGCUAACUACGUGCCAGCAGCCGCGGUAAUACGUAGGGUGCAAGCGUUAAUCGGAAUUACUGGGCGUAAAGCGUGCGCAGGUGGUUUUGUAAGUCAGAUGUGAAAUCCCCGGGCUUAACCUGGGAACUGCGUUUGAAACUACAAGGCUAGAGUGUGGCAGAGGGGGGUGGAAUUCCGCGUGUAGCAGUGAAAUGCGUAGAUAUGUGGGGGAACACCGAUGGCGAAGGCAGCCCCCUGGGUCAACACUGACGCUCAGGCACGAAAGCAUGGGGAGCAAACAGGAUUAGAUACCCUGGUAGUCCAUGCCCUAAACGAUGUCAACUAGUUGUCGGGCCUUAACGGGCUUGGUAACGUAGCUAACGCGUGAAGUUGACCGCCUGGGGAGUACGAUCGCAAGAUUAAAACUCAAAGGAAUUGACGGGGACCCGCACAAGCGGUGGAUUAUGUGGAUUAAUUCGAUGCAACGCGAAAAACCUUACCUACCCUUGACAUGUAUCGAAGCCCGCAGAGAAGCGGGUGUGCCCGAAAGGGAACGAUAACACAGGUGCUGCAUGGCUGCCGUCAGCUCGUGUCGUGAGAUGUUGGGUUAAGUCCCGCAACGAGCGCAACCCUUGUCAUUAAUUGCCAUCAUUUAGUUGGGCACUUUAAUGAGACUGCCGG